CAAAAAAUAGUAUAAUUAUUAUUUAGAUUUUGGGGAUCUAGGAUGAUUAGAGAAGUCUUUUUUGA
RNAcentral lists this transfer RNA (65 nucleotides) under Tinaminyssus melloi. Its description in RNAcentral is "tRNA-Pro". Lineage: Eukaryota; Metazoa; Arthropoda; Arachnida; Mesostigmata; Rhinonyssidae. The record is from RNAcentral.